GUUCUUGAAACUACAGAAGACCUUGAGCACACAAUCAUGGCUUGUAGUGCAUGAAAAACUCUGCAGAAGUAACUGGUGCAAGACAGCUAAGGAAAACACGCUAAGGGUCUAGGCCUAUGAACGUUUUUAGUCUUCCAUGGUGCUCAAGCAUAUGCAUAAAGCCUCCUGAGAAACUCAAGUAUAGAAUAGAGCAACUCUUAUGAAAACCUGGGAUGAUGCAGUUCAAAGGCUCAGACAAAGAAAAAUCAGUACCUUGUGUACAGGAUUUCUAUUUUCUUUUCAUAUUUUUUAAGGAUGUAAUAUUUCUUUUCUUCACUUACUGUGUUUUCAAGCACUACCACCAAGAGGUCUCUAAACUAUUUCCCUUUUCCUGGCACAGCAACAGCUUUUGAAAAAUGAUGAUUCUAGAGAUCCCUUCUGACCGUAGUUAUUCUAUGACUCAAAGUGAUGUGGAGUACUCAGCUCACAGCGCUUUUAACUAAACAAUUUUCAAAGACGAAUGCAGAGAAAAAUCAAUGACUCCUCAGGACUGUUGAGUUGGAGGUAUGCAAAAGCACUAUCUACUUCUGAAUGUGCCACAACAGGAUUUUUCACCUGCAUCAUAAAGUCAUGGAACUUGUUUUCUUUGGUCAAAACCAGCAAGCCCCAUUAUGAGCCCUAAAUAACUACACUUUAAUGUUCAGCAAAUACAGUUCUGACUAAUUUGGUGACCUGUAAGUGCAAUGUGAACUCAGGUCAAAUUAGUGACCAACAUAUUUUUUUUCUGAAGAGAGCAUAAAAUUCAAUAGGCAUAUGGUUAAUGCAUGCAUUCAUACAACAGUAAUUUCCCUAAUAAGUUUGCAUCACAGAAGCUAGUAAUUACAUUAUGCAACAUUUUCAAAACUUGUUCCGCACAUUCAUGAUUAACCACAUCACUAUGUGCAUGUGUCUAUAAUUUUGCUCUCUGAGCUGUGGCUCCUCGUGGGAACUACUGUUCUUGCAUCAGCAUUUGUCACUCAUGGUGAAGUUAGAGGAAUCUGAUUCAUGAGCGGAAUCUUGCACAGGAGCUGUUCUCAGUGCCCUGCUUUUCACCUCAGGCUUCUAGAGUCUGUGAGUUUACCAGCUGGAAGGUGACAAUCCCAAACAAGAAGCCAAUUAAGAUGAAAGCAGCAGUUACAGAGUCCUCCAAAUCCGUGGCCCCAAAAGCUGUGCUUAACUGCAACCAGGACACCUUCCCACUGACAGUUUCCCUGUGCAUUGCUGCUGCUGUGUCAUGACAGCCAAUUACUCCAAUUCGUCAAUGCCAGCAAGAAGCCUCUUGUCUUUA
RNAcentral lists this long non-coding RNA (1306 nucleotides) under Gallus gallus (chicken). RNAcentral describes it as "lncRNA (ENSGALG00010015744.1)". Lineage: Eukaryota; Metazoa; Chordata; Aves; Galliformes; Phasianidae. The record is from RNAcentral.